RNAcentral lists this transfer RNA (541 nucleotides) under uncultured cyanobacterium. RNAcentral describes it as "partial miscellaneous RNA". The stretch from base 212 to 284 matches the Rfam family "tRNA". Lineage: Bacteria; Bacillati; Cyanobacteriota. The record is from RNAcentral.
CAGGGAGACAACAAAAUGUUUAAUAUUAUUAUUUUGUCACCUUAGGUCGAUCGGUAUCUCACGUUCUUAAUUUAUUAAGAAUUUCAUUUCCUAAGUUUUUCUAGGUCACACCCAUUAUUUUUCCUGGGCCAUUAGCUCAGGUGGUUAGAGCGCACCCCUGAUAAGGGUGAGGUCCCUGGUUCAAGUCCAGGAUGGCCCAUAUCUCUAUGUUGGGGGUAUAGCUCAGUUGGUAGAGCGCCUGCUUUGCAAGCAGGAUGUCAGCGGUUCGAGUCCGCUUACCUCCACUGAUUACCACCUCUUCCAUAAUCUGUAGAAAGGAAAUGUUUUGAGUUGUGAUCAAAUUCUGAACGAAUCUAGCUUCCUAAUGUAACUAUUAAGAUGCUGGACUCAUUGAAUAAAUUUCAUUGUUUUCAGAGAACCUUGACAACUGCAUAGAUUAUUUUUUAAAGACAAUAAGCAUCUUUAACGAUGCAGAUUUAUUAUUUGUGCAAAUGCAUUAAUAACAAUUCUAUUAAGCUGAUGCUUCAAUUUUGAAGUUAUU